Molecule: long non-coding RNA, 2056 nt
Filed under: Nicotiana benthamiana
Lineage: Eukaryota; Viridiplantae; Streptophyta; Magnoliopsida; Solanales; Solanaceae
Description: long non-coding RNA (NBEN_LNC020721)
Source: RNAcentral
AAACAACUACUCUUUAACAUCAUACCUUUGACUGUUCCUUAUCUUGUAACUUUACCUAAUGGUUACAAAGUAAAAGUAACUUGUACAGGUUCUUUUGCACUAACUUCUUCCCUCACUCUUCAUAAUGUGCUUCUGGUUCCUUCCUUUAAACACAGCUUGAUUUCUGUUCACAAGUUGAUUAAACAGUUGCACUGUAUAGUUUCAUUCACACCAACUUCCUGUUUACUUCACAUGAUACAGGACCAUUCUCUGAAGAGGCCUCUGGAUCUUGGUAAGGAGGAAGCUGGCUUAUACAAACUGUGUUGGGUGCCUCCUUCCCUUUCUCCCUCUUCUGUUUUUCCUUUUACUUCUGUGCGUGGUUUGCCUAAUUUUUGUAAUGAUGAUACUAUGUCUGACAGCAAAAAUAUUUGUUUACCUUCAAUUGUAAACAAUUCCAUUUGUAAUAAUGUUUUUAUCAAUGAUAUGAAUUACAUUUGGCAUUUAAGACUGGCACAUACUCCCUUUACAAAUAUGAAACACAUUUUGGGUUUGUCUUUUCCACUUGCUCCUAAACAACCCUUUCCCUGUUCUGUCUGCCCUAUGGCUAAGCAGACUAGACUUCCUUUUCAUGACAGUAAUAUCAGUACAACUAGACCAUUCCAAUUGAUACAUGUGGAUACUUGGGGGCCUUACCACACUUCUACUUCUUUUGGUUACAAAUACUUCCUUACUAUAGUUGAUGACUUCUCUAGGGAAACCUGGACACACCUAAUGGGAUCCAAAAUCAGUGCCUUUCCCUAGUUAAGUCUUUCAUUUCCUUUGUUAAAACUCAAUUCAAUUCUGUAGUCCAAACUGUCAGAAGUGACAAAGCCUUAGAACUGGGGUCCAGCAGUGAGGGAAAAUCCUUUUUUAGUAGCCAGGGAUCAUUCAUCAAACCUCUUGCCCUCAUUCUCCCCAACAGAAUGGUGUUGUUGAAAGGAAACACAUAACACUCCUUGAAACAUGUAGAGCAUUACUUUUUCAAUCUGGUCUACCUGUCUCUUUCUGGGGUGAUUGCCUAUUAACUGCCACAUAUCUCCUUAACAAAAUACCUACCAGAACUCUCCAUCAUAAGUCUCCCCAUGAAAUUUUAUAUGGCAAAGCCCCAUCCUACUCUCAUUUGAGAGCUUUUGGAUGCCUUGCUUAUGCUGCUGUCUCUAUCCCUCAAAGGGACAAACUAAAACCUAGGGCCCAUUCUUCCUUUUGGAUGCCUUGCUUAUGCUGAUGUCCCUAUCCCUCAAAGGGACAAACUAAAACCUAGGGCCCAUUCUUGUGUGUUUAUGGGUUACCCCUUUGCUAAAAAGGGUUAUAAACUGUAUGACUUGGGUACCAAGAAGUGUUUUGUUUCAAGGGAUGUUGUUUUUCAUGAAUCUUAUUUUCCUUUUAAGGACAAUCCUUCCUUUGUUCAUCCUUCUCCUUCCUCUGUUCCUUCUGUUCCCCCUGCUGAUGAUUUUCCUGUCUCUGACUUUCUUAAUUUUCCUUCCCCUGAUCCUCUUGCACCUACUGUUCCUGUUGCUGCUUCUCCUUCCCUUCCUUCUUUCAAUCCAGAUCUUACUGCUCCUGUCCUACCUCCUUCUCUUCCUCUUCCUGCAUCUAGGAAGUCUACUAGACAGCAUAAUCCUCCUUCCUAUCUUAGGGAUUAUGUCUGUCAACUUCCUGCAUUUUCUGGUUCCUCCUCAUCCACUUUGGAAUCUGAACCUAUGUACUACUCUCGAGCUACAUCUGUCCCAGCAUGGCAGGAUGCAAUGAGACAAGAGUUAGCUGCUCUGGAUGCUAAUCACACUUGGGACAUUGUCCCUCUUCCUGUUGGUAAGAAACCUAUUGGGUGCAAGUGGGUCUACAAAAUCAAAUACAAAUAUGAUGGUCUUGUUGAAAGGUAUAAGGCAAGAUAGGUUAUUAGGGGUGACACACAGGUUGAGGGGAUUGAUUUUACAGACACCUUUAAUUAAGAUGACCUCUGUCAAAUGCCUUAUUACUGUGGCUGUCAAACAUCAUUGGCCUCUUUUUCAGCUUGAUGUCAAUAAUGCCUUUCUUCAUG